This 279-nucleotide ribosomal RNA is filed under the name Triticum aestivum (bread wheat). Its description in RNAcentral is "partial small subunit ribosomal RNA". Lineage: Eukaryota; Viridiplantae; Streptophyta; Magnoliopsida; Poales; Poaceae. The record is from RNAcentral.
AUGCUUGCUAUCUCUCGGAGUGGUAUUGCUACAGGAAGGUAUGCAAUAAUGACAUCUCAUCAGGCUCUUGGGGUUCCUUCAAUGGUAGAAGCCUCCCCAUCAUUUGUAAACCUCGAAGGUUGUGGUUCUGAAUUUGUUGAUGGGAAUGAACCUGGCUCGAGUGCUACCGUUGUUGCUCAUGGGGAAGAUGCUGUUGCUGCUGCUCAUGGGAAUGAACCAUAUAAGGAUGCUUCUAGCUCCACUGGCAAAAGGAAGAGGGCUAGCUUGAUGAGUGAAUAA